This is a long non-coding RNA of Hyla sarda, 613 nucleotides long. RefSeq lists it as uncharacterized. Lineage: Eukaryota; Metazoa; Chordata; Amphibia; Anura; Hylidae. The record is from RefSeq and is a predicted model, not a curated record. The transcript has 3 exons.
AUCUUCUACCACAGAUUGAGGCCUCGAGGCGUGGUUGCACAGGUGGGACCCUCGGACAGCGCCAAUCAGAGAGCAGCACUACUGAAAUAGAACUCUCAGGAGGUAACAGCGUGUCACACAUGUGAUGUCAUAACCAUUGUCCACCAGAGAGCAGCACUGAGCAGAUAUAACACUGCUCCUGCUCAUUCUUCAUCAGUGAGGGGCUGAUGCUGGACACUGUAGGGGCCGAGAAUGCAAAGUCACAUACACUACUGUGACUGAUGCACUAUUUCCAGGAUGUGGAGUAGCAUUUCCGGACCUACAGCAAGACAUUGGAUGAAGACGGAGAUUUCCAGACCUAUUCCAGAAGAAUUUGGAUGAAGGCACAGCCCCUCGAAUCACGCACAUACACAGACACAUUUGCCCAAACUCUAGAGGUAACCUCCUUUAGUAUGCCCAGAGGAAGGGCAAUACAGUAGCCAUGGAUUCCCUACAGGUUUCCUCCCCUCUGGAGGUUUUUCCUGUCCUGAGUAUUAGUUACUGUACGCUCUUUGUGAGUGAUGGAGGUUACAAGAAAUCCCCUACACAAACAUUUUUAUAUAUAAUAAAUAAAGUUCCCCUUUUUAAACCAUUC